Molecule: ribosomal RNA, 406 nt
Filed under: uncultured bacterium
Lineage: Bacteria
Description: partial 16S ribosomal RNA
Rfam family: Bacterial small subunit ribosomal RNA
Source: RNAcentral
AUUGAACGCUGGCGGCAGGCCUAACACAUGCAAGUCGAACGAGUGGCGGACGGGUGAGUAAUGUCUGGGAAACUGCCUGAUGGAGGGGGAUAAAUACUGGAAACGGUAGCUAAUACCGCAUACCAUCGGAUGUGCCCAGAUGGGAUGAGCUUGUUGGUGGGGUAACGGCUCACCAAUGCAACGAUCCCUAGAUGGUCUGAGAGGAUGACCAGUCAAACUGGAAGUGAGAAACGGUCCAGACUCCGACGGGAGGCAGCAGUGGGGAAUAUUGCACAAUGGGCGCAAGCCUGAUGCAGCCAUGCCGCGUGUAUGAAGAAGGCCUUCGGGUUGUAAAGUACUUUCAGCGGGGAGGCGUUACCCGCAGAAGAAGCACCGGCUAACUCCGUGCCAGCAGCCGCGGUAAUUC